UGGACAGGCGGAGGCGGCUCGCAUUGUCUUUAUGCUAAUACUUUAACUCUCUCUUCGCCCCUCUUUCCAACGCUCACUUAUAAAGUGAGGAUGCGAGGUACGAGUUCCGUGUGAGAUUUAAGCAGCAUCUCCCCACCGCCAAACCUCACCCUCCCCUCCCCACUCGCCCCCCUCCACCAUCACCCAAUGCGAGCGACCGGAGAGUGGGGUCGGUCAUGAGUUGUCUGGAUGUUAUGUAUCAUCAGUCUUAUGGGGCGCACCAGUACUUACCAGCAGCCGCCGCAGCAGCUUACACCGCAGCCUGUUACCAUCACCACCACUCUCAGCAGCAGAAGUUAGCCCUGUACAGCAAGAUGCAGGAGUCGAUGGAGAACAACUCGCCGAGCAAAGAGAGCGAGAAGGAGCAGCCUCCUGAGGCCGAGUACAUCAGUUCCAGAUGUGUGCUGCUCACCUACUUCCAGGGGGACAUCGGCGCGGUGGUGGACGAGCAUUUCAGCAGAGCCCUCAGCCAGUCCAGCAACUUCCACGGUGACCAUCCGAGCUCAAAGCCCCAGGCUUCUUCCAGCUCCGUGUGGAAAGAAGGAUCGCCAUUUCCUACAAAUCAGAAGAACAGUUUUCCUGCUUCUUUCUGGAACAGCACUUACCAAGCCCCAGCACCUCCAGCUCUUAGUGCGAGUCACCCCGAUAUCUCUGCUGCGUCUGGUGCUGUGUUUCACUCCCCAGACCCCAUGGCUUGGCCUGGACAUGGACUACACCAGGCCAGCGCUCCCCCAUCAAAUGCUGAGCCAUGGCCUUACACAUUGGCAUCACAAGGCAGUUCCAGCUAUCCACUUGUGCAUGAGGUUUACCCACAUAUGCACCACCCACAUGCCCACACCCACCAUCAUAGCCCACAUCUCGACCCACGUUAUGGGUCAUUGUUGGUACCAUCAGUGAGGGCAGCUAGGAUUACCACAGCACCAGGUGAGAUCACAAAGACAGACCCUACUGCUUCUGCUGCUGGUUCUUCAUGGACUGGAGCCUUUCAUGGAACGCUUGAGAUGGCACAGGCUGUGAACUUUGAUACAGUACAUGUGUUAUGCAAAGAAGAUAGGUGACCAUCAUGCAGGAACUAAUAGAAUUCAGAGGAAAAGGAACAAAGCAAUAGAUUUUUUGGAGGUUUCUAAAGCCCUUUGGUAUGGUGGAUCUCUCACAGGCUGAUGAAAAAACACAUCCCUGCAAUCUGAUGGAAUGAAAAUGAUGACCCAGAUUAUUUGCUUUUGACCAAUUAUCUUCAAGAACUGUUAUGAUGGAAAAUAAAGGGGAUUCUAUGAGAAUUUACCCUGAACAAUCUGGCAAAAUGUUUGAGGGAAAACAAAAAAUAAAUUUGUAGAACUUAUGUUGAUCUAAGUAAAAGUAAUGAAGUGAAUCACUAAUUAUUGUUUCAUCAAGAUAACAGGGCUACCUAUUUUCAACAUCCCACUAUGGGUUUCAUAGCCUGAAUUAUGUAGAAUUUGAUGGCUUUAGAGGAUGAUUAGUACAAUGUGUUGGGUGAAGAUCUGCUUCAAGUAAAUUUUAUGAGGGUGAAGCACUGGGUGGAAAAUUGCAUUAGGCACAACAGAAAUAUUCUUUUAUUUUUGUGGUUAAAAAAAGUAUGUGAAGUAUUGGAGUUUUUUUUAUAACUGUCUAUUACUCUGAUCUUGUUAAAAUGUAAUGUGACUCUACCAGGGAUUUAUGCAUUUUUCUUGUUUUCUUACUUAUUUAAGUAUAGUUAACCAUUUGUGGACUGCAGUAGCACUUUUACCAUGUCCUAAAUUACAUGCAGGUUUAAAGUCCUUUUAUUUCAUUUAGUCUGCUGUAGUGGCAUGCUCAGUGGGUCUACAUUUUGUUGGCAUUCAGCAUUUUGAUUUAUCGACUAUGUUAUUGCAAAAAAAAUAAAUUAUAGAAAAAAGUAUUUCUCUGGAAUUAAGAUGACAUUUUAGUGAAACCAAAGAGAAAAAAAGAGAGCAGUGUUUUAUAAAGUAUUCUCCAUCUUUAGAACAUAAAAGUCUUUCUGUUCAGAUUCUAUGAGGGUAUUUUAUUUAGAAAAGUUAAAUGGUUGAUAAUUGUAAAAUGGAAUGGUUGAUAAAUUUGGCAUUCAUUUUUAAUGUUUUAUGGCAUGCACCAAAAGGAAAAUGUCGUUGCAUCUUUUAGAUGCUAAUAGAACUUUCAAUCCUUUUAAUUUCCUUAUUUUAAGCCUUUAAUUGUUCUAUCGUAAUAAGUUUUAUUUUGGCCUAGUUGUAAAAUGGAACUUUUUUACUUUACUCUAACAAUUAAAAAAAAACUCUUUGGUGACAAGUUUGAAAGCUAUACUAAAUAUCCUGUAGGAAGGUGAUAAAAGUUGCUCUCAAUCCAUAGGACACAUCAUUUCGUAUUUGAGGUUGUAUUUAGUCAGAGGCUAUCUUAAAGCAGAUCUAUCAGAUCACAUUGAAAACCACAUUGGAUAUCAUAAAAAAGCAAUGCACUCACGACUCGUCUGCUCUGUAAUAAAAUACAAAUUGUAAGUAGUUCUGAAGGGGGUGAAUGAGGCUUCACAUUCUCCCAACAGUGUACGACGUGGAAACAUUAUCAUCUACUAUCAAUUUCGAAAGUUUUUUUUUAAUUGGACGUUGUUCUGCUUUUUAAAUGGAAUCAGGAUUCUGUGUUGAAUAUAUUCUUUCCAAGAUGUUACAUAUAUUGUUCUCUGUUUAUAAUAAAAAUGCGUAAAGUGAGGCAAAAACCAUGGGAAAAUUUUGUCGCAAUUUUCUCUCAGUGAAUUUGUUUCAUUAUUAUUUGUACAGUAAACUGUAAAACUCAUUGAUGUUAAUAAAAAGAAUACUUGCUGAAAGCAUUGCUCACAA
Carcharodon carcharias (great white shark) is the source of this 2858-nucleotide RNA transcript. It is a transcript of the gene named vestigial-like family member 3, with no coding region annotated. The transcript is spliced from 5 exons. Lineage: Eukaryota; Metazoa; Chordata; Chondrichthyes; Lamniformes; Lamnidae. The record is from RefSeq and is a predicted model, not a curated record.